RNAcentral lists this unclassified non-coding RNA (1675 nucleotides) under Hevea brasiliensis (rubber tree). Lineage: Eukaryota; Viridiplantae; Streptophyta; Magnoliopsida; Malpighiales; Euphorbiaceae. The record is from RNAcentral.
AGCCUUUUAUAUUAUGCAUGAAAAAUAAUAUAGACCAUCACAAACUCAUUUCCCUGUUUGGUUUCAUUGACACAUUUUGUUCAACACCUUGUAAGCAAUAAAAAUUGACACCAAACUGAUCAAAUUUCAUCGGAUUUAGUAUAACAGCUAUGGCUACUUGCGGAAUUGACUGGAAAUCUGUUCUGCCAAACUGUUUUAAGGGCAAUAAUGUUCGUUCGGAGGCGAAGGUGAUGGAGAACAGUAAACAGAUGAAUUCUGAUCAUCAUAGAUUAGCUUUUUCUGAUAUAAGUACUGAUUCUAGAUCAGUACUUAUAUCAUUGGAUGACCUUUCAUCGAACGCUGUCAUUGGUUCAAAUCUUCAUGUAUUCACAUAUGAGGAACUUAAACUCAUCACUAGUGAUUUCUCCUCAGCUAAUUUUCUCGGUAAAGGUGGAUUUGGACCCGUUCACAAGGGGUUUAUUGAUGACAAGAUUAAGCCUGGUUUGGAUGCUCAACCUGUUGCUGUUAAAUUGCUUGAUUUGGAUGGAAAUCAGGGCCAUCAAGAAUGGCUGACUGAAGUGGUUUUUUUGGGGCAAUUGAGGCAUCAUCAUCUAGUGAAGUUGAUUGGAUAUUGUUGGGAGGAGGAGCAGAGACUUCUCGUUUACGAGUAUAUGGCAAGGGGAAACCUCGAGGAUCAACUAUUUUCGAGAUAUUCGAGUUGUUUGCCAUGGUUGACCAGAAUAAAAAUUAUGGUUGGUGCUGCAAAGGGACUGGCUUUCCUUCACGGAGAAGAAAAACCAGUAAUCUACCGCGAUUUUAAGGCUUCUAACAUCCUCUUAGACUCGGAUUACAGAGCCAAACUAUCUGAUUUUGGGCUAGCAAAGGAUGGACCGGAAGGCGAUGACACACAUGUCUCAACUCGUGUGAUGGGCACUCAUGGUUAUGCUGCUCCGGAGUACAUCAUGACUGGUCAUUUGACAAGCAAGAGCGAUGUGUACAGCUUCGGAGUAGUUUUGUUAGAACUUAUAACAGGACGACGAGCCAUGGACAAGAAACGCCCCCUCAAAGAGCGAAUCUUGGUGGAUUGGGCAAGACCAAUGCUAAGGGAUCCACACAAGCUUGACAGAAUAAUGGACCCACGGCUUGAAGGUCAGUACUCGACACAAGGAGCCAAGAAGGUAGCUGCAUUGGCUUAUCAAUGCUUAAGCCACCACCCCAGGUCUAGGCCUACUAUGAGCAACAUAGUGAAGAUCUUGGAACCAGUCUUGGACAUGAAGGAUAUACCAAUGGGCCCAUUUGUUUACGUCGUUCCCUCCUCAAAACCUGACAAGGGAACAGAAAUUGGUGAAUUGAAGACUAAAGUGAACGAUGAAAACAAGGCGGGUGUAAGGGAAAACGAAGUAGAUAAUGCAGGGGAAAACAGAGAGGAUGGUAAUGCUAAGCAACGGAGAGUCGGACACAGGUAUAAACACAGGCUAAAGACUGAUGCUUCUGUUUACUCAGAUACUCAUUUGUAUCACAAAACUGUAAAGCAUGAAAGAACAAACAAACUAAAUUCUUAUUGAUCAAUCGCAACGAAUAGAAGAAAGGGAAAAGAGAUUUAAAAUGUAAAACAUAUGUGAAUUAGAUAGUAUAAUUAAGUACUCCAAUUGUAUUUUUUUUUUUUUGUUAAAUCAGUUUACAUUUUAGUCUCAGU